GUCUUUUUGAGUAUAAUUUAAAGUCGAAUCUGCCCACUGAUUAUUAAUUAAAGGGCUGCAGUAUUUUGACUGUACAAAGGUAGCAUAAUAAUUAGUCUUUUAAUUGAAGACUUGUAUGAAAGAUUUGAUGAGAUAUAAACUGUCUCUUUUUUAUAAUUAGAAUUUAAUUUUUCAGUAAAAAAGCUGAAAUUAUUUUAAAAGACGAGAAGACCCUAUAGAGUUUUAUAAUUAAAUUAGUUAUAUAUUUUUAUUUAAAUUAAAAGUUAAUUGAUUUAAUUAUUUUGUUGGGGUGAUAAAAAAAUUAAAUUAACUUUUUUUUUAAAAUUGAACAUUAAUUUAUGAAUAAUUGAUCCAUAAUUUAUGAUUAAAAGAAAAAAUUACCUUAGGGAUAACAGCGUAAUUUUUUUUUUUAGUUCUUAUAAAAAAAAAAGUUUGCGACCUCGAUGUUGGAUUAAGAUAAAAUUUAAAUGCAGAAGUUUAAAAUUUUGAUCUGUUCGAUCAUUAAAAUCUUACA
Molecule: ribosomal RNA, 514 nt
Filed under: Zenonoida eltola
Lineage: Eukaryota; Metazoa; Arthropoda; Insecta; Lepidoptera; Hesperiidae
Description: partial 16S ribosomal RNA
Rfam family: Bacterial large subunit ribosomal RNA (bases 388-514)
Source: RNAcentral